Hevea brasiliensis (rubber tree) is the source of this 604-nucleotide long non-coding RNA. RefSeq lists it as uncharacterized. The transcript has 3 exons. The record is from RefSeq and is a predicted model, not a curated record. Lineage: Eukaryota; Viridiplantae; Streptophyta; Magnoliopsida; Malpighiales; Euphorbiaceae.
CCGAGGUUUUGGCUAGCCCCCCAUUGUCAGAUGUCCCGAGCGCGUCCCCGAAGUCGGAAUCGGCAAAGGUGAGCCGGGACAGCCUUCUUCCUCUGCCCAGCCGCCACAGUGAUUGUCGUCAAGUCUGCCACAGGAGGAUAUUUUUUGAGGUUAACCUGCUUUCUCCCUCGCAGGUCAAUUAUUAUUGUUUGUAUAAACUUGUUAAAUCUUAGAAUUUCCGUAUGUGUUAGAAAUGUUUAUUUGAUUUGGGUCUGUAAACUAAAUUAUUAUUUUGGGACCUGUAAAUUUAAUAUGCUAUGCAUGUUUGAUGGAUUGGAUGAGGGAGCUGAGCUCCCAUUUAUUAUUAUGUUGAUGAGUAUGAGGAGGGUGAGCUGAGCUCCCCAAUUGACUAUAUAUUGUGUUUACAGGUCGGGUGAGUCGGAAACUCCCUGUUGGUAAGUCCAUUUUAUGGUCGGACUCUGUCCGUUUGUUUUCUUGAAAUUGGGCCCAAAUGGGCCUUAGAGUUGGGUUAAUGAACAGUUAGGCUUACUACGGGCCUCGGGGGCUUUAGGCUGGCCUAGGUCCUAGUGCCGGUCCGGCCCAUAGGUUGGGUCGUGACAAAUGU